Molecule: ribosomal RNA, 468 nt
Filed under: uncultured bacterium
Lineage: Bacteria
Description: partial 16S ribosomal RNA
Rfam family: Bacterial small subunit ribosomal RNA
Source: RNAcentral
GACGAACGCUGGCGGCGUGCUUAACACAUGCAAGUCGAACGGAAAGGCCCUGCUUUUGUGGGGUGCUCGAGUGGCGAACGGGUGAGUAACACGUGAGUAACCUGCCCUUGACUUUGGGAUAACUUCAGGAAACUGGGGCUAAUACCGGAUAGGAGCUCCCGCUGCAUGGUGGGGGUUGGAAAGUUUCGGCGGUUGGGGAUGGACUCGCGGCUUAUCAGCUUGUUGGUGGGGCAGUGGCUUACCAAGGCUUUGACGGGUAGCCGGCCUGAGAGGGUGACCGGCCACAUUGGGACUGAGAUACGGCCCAGACUCCUACGGGAGGCAGCAGUGGGGAAUAUUGCACAAUGGGCGGAAGCCUGAUGCAGCAACGCCGCGUGCGGGAUGACGGCCUUCGGGUUGUAAACCGCUUUCGCCUGUGACGAAGCGUGAGUGACGGUAAUGGGUAAAGAAGCACCGGCUAACUACGUG